This 700-nucleotide unclassified non-coding RNA is filed under the name Hevea brasiliensis (rubber tree). Lineage: Eukaryota; Viridiplantae; Streptophyta; Magnoliopsida; Malpighiales; Euphorbiaceae. The record is from RNAcentral.
GCCCCUUAUUGCAUAAGCCUCUUUGAAUCCAUUCUUGAACAAUAACUCUGCCACUCUCAUUGAAUUACCAUCAAAAUUGUCCAGAAUGCAUAAGACGGUGUUUGCUGGGUCUGGAAACUUCUCUAACACGUUCUUCACAAACCCAUCUUCAUCUUCCUUGGAGAACUCAACCUGAACCACACUCUUAUUCAAAAUCUUUAAAUUGGGAGACCUCAAAGCCACCAAACUCUUCUUGUCCCUGAUAUCCAAAAGCUGAUAAUCCUUCUCUUGUCGCAGUUUUCGAAAUGCAUCAAUGGCAGAGAUAAACUUGUAUUUCCUCAAGUACUGUUCAGUUAGAGGGAUAACGACCAGCCAAAUGAAUGUACACCCAGCAACAAAAAAGGGGUUUCUGUUGAAGAAGUCAUCAAUUGAGACUAAGAUCGAUUCCAAGUUUAUUUUGUCAGAGACUUGUUCAGUUGGGGUGAUUAAAGCUUCAGAAGCUAAGGAAGGAAGAGAAGUGAUAAGCUGAAAUGUAGACAAAGAGACAGAAGUUUUGGAUAAGACACAGUUUCUGAGACGUAACAGGUGGUUUUGAAGAGAAGAAUUUUUUGCAGAUAGGAAACAGGUUUGAUGAGAAUAGGGUUUAGAGGUGGAGAAUUUGAGGGUUUUGGAGUGGUUCUGGAUGGGUGGUGAAGAAGAAAGGAUGAUGGAAAGGGACUCC